UGGGGAAUAUUGGACAAUGGGGGAAGCCCUGAUCCAGCCAUGCCGCGUGUGUGAAGAAGGCCUUAUGGUUGUAAAGCACUUUAAGCGAGGAGGAGGCUCUUUUGGUUAAUACCCAAGAUGAGUGGACGUUACUCGCAGAAUAAGCACCGGCUAACUCUGUGCCAGCAGCCGCGGUAAUACAGAGGGUGCGAGCGUUAAUCGGAUUUACUGGGCGUAAAGCGUGCGUAGGCGGCUUUUUAAGUCGGAUGUGAAAUCCCCGAGCUUAACUUGGGAAUUGCAUUCGAUACUGGGAAGCUAGAGUAUGGGAGAGGAUGGUAGAAUUCCAGGUGUAGCGGUGAAAUGCGUAGAGAUCUGGAGGAAUACCGAUGGCGAAGGCAGCCAUCUGGCCUAAUACUGACGCUGAGGUACGAAAGCAUGGGAGCAACA
This 426-nucleotide ribosomal RNA is filed under the name uncultured Acinetobacter sp. RNAcentral's name for it is "bacterial SSU rRNA". It matches the Rfam family "Bacterial small subunit ribosomal RNA", at positions 355 to 773 of the family's 1533-position model. The record is from RNAcentral. Lineage: Bacteria; Pseudomonadati; Pseudomonadota; Gammaproteobacteria; Moraxellales; Moraxellaceae.